GUCAUAUUGGCUUAGUGGUAUAGCGGUCGUUUUGUAAUCGGCAGGUCAUAGGUUCAAAUCCUAUAUAUGACA
Molecule: transfer RNA, 72 nt
Filed under: Acetobacter pasteurianus
Lineage: Bacteria; Pseudomonadati; Pseudomonadota; Alphaproteobacteria; Acetobacterales; Acetobacteraceae
Also listed under: 2 other names
Description: tRNA-Thr
Rfam family: tRNA
About the family: Transfer RNA (tRNA) molecules are approximately 80 nucleotides in length. Their secondary structure includes four short double-helical elements and three loops (D, anti-codon, and T loops). Further hydrogen bonds mediate the characteristic L-shaped molecular structure. tRNAs have two regions of fundamental functional importance: the anti-codon, which is responsible for specific mRNA codon recognition, and the 3' end, to which the tRNAs corresponding amino acid is attached (by aminoacyl-tRNA synthetases). tRNAs cope with the degeneracy of the genetic code in two manners: having more than one tRNA (with a specific anti-codon) for a particular amino acid; and 'wobble' base-pairing, i.e. permitting non-standard base-pairing at the 3rd anti-codon position.
Source: RNAcentral